CUACCCUGUAGGACCUACCCGGUAGGCGACCCUGCCGACGGCCCCCGAAACUCUGUUUUUAUAGCAUUGGACUUCUGAAAAGAUAACUAAAUAAGUUAAAACUUUCAACAACGGAUCUCUUGGUUCUGGCAUCGAUGAAGAACGCAGCGAAAUGCGAUAAGUAAUGUGAAUUGCAGAAUUCAGUGAAUCAUCGAAUCUUUGAACGCACAUUGCGCCCACUAGUAUUCUGGUGGGCAUGCCUGUUCGAGCGUCAUUUCAACCCUUAAGCCCCUGUUGCUUAGCGUUGGGAGCCUACUGGAACUCUCCUGUAGCUCUCCAAAGUCAGUGGCGGAGCCGGUUCGCACUCCAGACGUAGUAGCUUUUACAUAUCGCCUGUAGCUUGGACCCGGUCCCCUGCCGUAAAACACCCCAAAUCUUCUAGGUUGACCUCGGAUCAGGUAGGAAUACCCGCUGAACUUAAGCAUAUCAAUAAGCG
RNAcentral lists this ribosomal RNA (475 nucleotides) under Nemania aenea. RNAcentral's name for it is "eukaryotic LSU rRNA". The stretch from base 100 to 253 matches the Rfam family "5.8S ribosomal RNA". The record is from RNAcentral. Lineage: Eukaryota; Fungi; Ascomycota; Sordariomycetes; Xylariales; Xylariaceae.